Molecule: small RNA, 127 nt
Filed under: Marmota monax (woodchuck)
Lineage: Eukaryota; Metazoa; Chordata; Mammalia; Rodentia; Sciuridae
Source: RNAcentral
GCCAGGUGCUGUGGUGCACAUCUGUAAUCCUAGUGGCUCUGGAGGCUGAGGCAGGAGGAUAGAGAGUUUGAGGCCAACCUCAGCAAUUUAGCAAGGCCCUAAGUAACUCAUCAAGAUCCUGUCUCUA